UGAAAGGUGAAGGACCCGGUCUUCGGACUGGGAGCGUACACAGGUGCUGCAUGGCUGUCGUCAGCUCGUGUCGUGAGAUGUUGGGUUAAGUCCCGCAACGAGCGCAACCCUGCUGCCAGUUGCCAACGGGUGAAGCCGGGCACUCUGGCGGGACUGCCAUCGACAAGAUGGAGGAAGGUGGGGAUGACGUCAAGUCAUCAUGGGCCCUUAUGUCCAGGGCGACACACGUGCUACGAAUGGCCGGCACAGCGGGAAGGCGAGGCAGUGAUGGCCAAGCGGAUCCCUUAAAGCCGGUACUCAGUUCGGAUUGAAGUCUGCAACUCGACUUCAUGAAGCUGGAAUCGCUAGUAAUCGCAGAUCAGCCAAGCUGCGGUGAAUACGUUCCCGGGCCUU
RNAcentral lists this ribosomal RNA (393 nucleotides) under uncultured Synergistaceae bacterium. RNAcentral describes it as "bacterial SSU rRNA". It matches the Rfam family "Bacterial small subunit ribosomal RNA", at positions 1002 to 1382 of the family's 1533-position model. Lineage: Bacteria; Thermotogati; Synergistota; Synergistia; Synergistales; Synergistaceae. The record is from RNAcentral.